UCCUAACUUAGCACCCAGGUUUCCAUGUGAGAACACCAGGAUAUGCAUCAGAUUGUUCUGAUUUUUCAAGAAAAAUGUGGAGCCUUAGAUGACAGCUCCUAAUUUUUAUGUAUUGCAUACUUGUUUGUAAAUAUCAUUGAUGAAUCAAAGAUAUGGAUGGGGGGGUGAUCAGGCUGGCAGCCUCCCCUCUGAGACCGCCGGCCUGGCACCUCCACAUACCUGAAAAAGAUCUUUGAUUUACCUUUGCACAAUCAAGUUCCAGGAGAGGGCUUUCUUUGUUGUUUUGGUUCUUGGUGUUUCCUCAGAACAAGGAAGAAAUCUGCCCUCAAAGGUGAAUUCAAGUCUACACCUCCACAGAUACAGAAAAAUUGCCGACACCUUCAGAAUGGACGUUUCUUUUCCACUUCUAGCCAUCAUUUGAAAAUAAUAUCAGGCUUUAGGCGUAAUCAGAAAAUUCUAUUAUAAAUGUCAACAAUUCUUUCUCUGAUAGUUUUAUGGCCUGGAAUAGCCAGAUUUCAGGCCAAAAUAUGGAGUUUUUGGCCAGCCCUUGGGAGACAUGCACGGGCCACACAUAUUCCAUCAGCCCCUUCUGUGUAACCCUGUUUAGCUUUCCCUCCACAAUACCCCUGGUAUUAUAGGGCACAGUCUCACUCAGAGGUCAUAAUAAGAGUUAAGUAGCAUGAAGCAAGUUGUUAAAGUGCCGAAGGCAAUUUUAGAUGAGAUGAACAAAAGGAAUAAAGGCUUAGCAUGCACUCCUGGGAAAAACAAGAUGUGUUUGACAAUACUGGAGGAUCCUGGGAGAAAAUUUUACGAUUAAUACUAUUCCACCCCUUUAUUUAACAUUUUUACUAGAGUAGAUGAAAACAGUCAUACCCAAAUGAGUAACAGAACCCUCUGAGCAUAAGUUUUUUUCUU
This 915-nucleotide long non-coding RNA is filed under the name Pan troglodytes (chimpanzee). Its description in RNAcentral is "long non-coding RNA NONPTRT017733". The record is from RNAcentral. Lineage: Eukaryota; Metazoa; Chordata; Mammalia; Primates; Hominidae.